UCAGUCGACUCCUACGGGGAGGCAGCAGUGGGGAAUAUUGCACAAUGGGGGAAACCCUGAUGCAGCCAUGCCGCGUGUGUGAAGAAGGCCUUCGGGUUGUAAAGCACUUUCAGUAGGGAGGAAGGUAGUGUAGUUAACACCUGCAUUAUUUGACGUUACCUACAGAAGAAGCACCGGCUAACUCCGUGCCAGCAGCCGCGGUAAUACGGAGGGUGCGAGCGUUAAUCGGAAUUACUGGGCGUAAAGCGCAUGCAGGCGGCCUGUUAAGUCAGAUGUGAAAGCCCGGGGCUUAACCUCGGAAUUGCAUUUGAAACUGGCAGGCUAGAGUCUUGUAGGAGGGGGGUAGGAAUUUCAGGUGUAGCGGUGAAAUGCGUAGAGAUCUGAAGGAAUACCAGUGGCGAAGGCGGCCCCCUGGACAAAGACUGACGCUCAGAUGCGAAAGCGUGGGGAGCAAACAGGAUUAGAUACCCUGGUAG
This 476-nucleotide ribosomal RNA is filed under the name uncultured bacterium. RNAcentral's name for it is "bacterial SSU rRNA". It matches the Rfam family "Bacterial small subunit ribosomal RNA", at positions 328 to 793 of the family's 1533-position model. The record is from RNAcentral.